This 27-nucleotide unclassified non-coding RNA is filed under the name Dictyostelium discoideum. Lineage: Eukaryota; Evosea; Eumycetozoa; Dictyosteliales; Dictyosteliaceae. The record is from RNAcentral.
CAGGUUCGCCCCCUGAUGGUCUCGCCA